RNAcentral lists this ribosomal RNA (964 nucleotides) under Wuchereria bancrofti. Its description in RNAcentral is "16S ribosomal RNA". Lineage: Eukaryota; Metazoa; Nematoda; Chromadorea; Rhabditida; Onchocercidae. The record is from RNAcentral.
AAUUAUUUUUUAAUUUUAUUUUUUGGUAUUGCAUAUCAGUAAAAGUUUUUAUCAUAGUAAUGAAUAAUAGAAAUAAAGUGUCAAGGUUGUAUUAUUUUUUGUUUUUACGAAAUUAAUUAUAAUUAUAACUUUGUAUUGAUAUAACGUACUUUUAUUUCUGUUUUUUUUUGUUUUAUAGUUAAGUUAUAUUUUUUAUUAUUUUAUUGUUUUUGGCAUUUUUUAUUUGAAUGUUGUUCGUUUUGUUUAAAUAACGUUUAUUUUUUUUUUUUUUUUUUUGGUUAACUUUUUAAUUAUUUGUUAUUUUUGUAAUUGUUUCUUUAUUUUGUCCCUGUUUAUUUUUAUGUUUCUUAUAUUCGAUUUUUGAUCUAUUUUAUUGUAUUUUUGAGUAAUGUUCAUUGAAAACUCGGGUUGUUUUUUAUAAUGCUAUCUUCUGCUCUAUAAUUUUUCUUUAAAUUUUAGCCUUUGAAGCAAGUAUCAAAGGGGCCGAAUUGUUGUCUUAUUAAGGGCUUUUUAAGUAUGAAUGGAGGUUUUAACGAUUUUUUGUUUAUGUUUUUUAUGAAUUUUUUUUUUAUUAAAAAUUAUUGAUUAAGUUACUCCAAAGAUAAGUCUUCGUAAAUUUUGGUUUGGUAUUUAACAAAGAUUUUCUUGGGGAUGGAAUUUAAUAAUUUAUUUUUUUUACUAUUUUUAUUUUUAAAAAUUACUUUGGAGUUAAUAGAGUUGUGGGAAUGCAAAUAGUUUUUUUAUAUUAGUGUGCUGCGCUAUAUCGAUGUUGCAGAUUUUUCGUGGGAUGAGAGAGAAUUUUUUUUUUUAAAUUGUUCUUUUUGUAUAAAAAUUGAACUUGAUAUUGUUUAGUUCGUGUGAGACAGAGCGGUUUAUCUUGUGUAUUAUUUGUUGUUAUCGGGGUUAGUACGAAAGGAAAAUUAUGAAGGUUAAUAUUUAUGAUCUUUUUAUUUUUAUGGAAUUU